Molecule: transfer RNA, 69 nt
Filed under: Ceramaster japonicus
Lineage: Eukaryota; Metazoa; Echinodermata; Asteroidea; Valvatida; Goniasteridae
Description: tRNA-Pro
Rfam family: tRNA
About the family: Transfer RNA (tRNA) molecules are approximately 80 nucleotides in length. Their secondary structure includes four short double-helical elements and three loops (D, anti-codon, and T loops).
Source: RNAcentral
CAGAGAAUAGUCUAAGUAGGAUGGUAGCUUUGGGAGUUAUUGGUGCGAGUGUAAGUUUUGCUUUUCUGA